GGAAACUUCAAUGCCAUAUUAUCUCCGUGUGCGCGAGUCUAUUCAGAAGCUCAGUGCACCUCGGAAAGCAAUCUACCUUUGAUAUGCGCACUUAACUUUCCAUUUAUACUUGUGAAUUCUAAGAUCGAGCAGUCAAACUUUUAGUCAGUAAGCCAGAACGAGGUAUUCCUGCUGCAGCAAGGGGACAACGGUCGGUCUCUGACCCUCUCUGGGGUUACCAUAGAAGCCAACCCAGUAACUCAAGACGAGUUUUGCUAUAGACGUAUUGCUAGAGUUAAGGGAAUCUUUGCUUCUUGUAGCUGACGUAAAUCAAAAUACGCCUUAAUAAUGAAAAGAAGAGAUAAGGAACAAUGUCCUUCGACCGAGGGAGAGAUGAAGCCUAAUAGACAAAACUUGUUUUCCCAGCAGUUACGCUCACCCUUAUGUCUAGUUCAUUUGAGUUUCAUGGUGUUGGCUCAGGUGAUGCAGUCUCUAGGAUCUCCUCUAGGCGUUAUUCAACAAACAUUUGCUAUUCAACCUGCGGACAGGACAGCUAUUAAAGGUGACAAAAUAGUUCUGCCGUGUCGAGUGCUGCAUAAGAAAGGGACUUUACAGUGGACGAGAGAUGGUUUCGGACUCGGUUCGGAAAGAUCACUAGCUGGAUUUCCCCGUUAUACCAUGGUCGGCAGCGAUGAGGAAGGAGACUUUUCACUUCAAAUUACUAAUGUCAGCCUUGAAGAUGAUGCCGUGUUUCAGUGUCAAGUAGGGGCUUCUGAUGGUGUGAAGGGUAUCAGAUCUCGAAGCGCAGUCUUUACAGUUUAUGUUCCUCCGGAACCUCCUCGAAUACUACAGCGCGAUUUUCUGGAGACAACUUCUGGUAUGGCAGUGGAACUAACAUGCGAAUCUAAUGGAGGGAAACCGGCUGCAGAGUUGGCUUGGUUGGACGGAGAAGGUAACGUGGUCACAGAGAAUAUCGAGUUCAAUACUAAACUUCUUGGUGAUAACAAAAGAGCCAAUGCUGCACUCAAAUGGACUUUUAAACCAAGGCGGGAACAUGACGGAAAGUCGUUUUCAUGUCGGUCUGAGAACCCUGCUCUAAAGCAACCGAGGGUGGCAAUAAUCAAACUUGCAGUCAAAUAUCCCCCUGAAGUUACCUUAACGGCAAACAGAAAAAAAAUCACGGAGUUCGAUGAUGUGCAAUUCACUUGUGACGCCGUCGCAAAUCCAGGGGAUGUAAAAUACAAGUGGUACAGGAAUGACGAGCUAAUAAAGGACGACCACGUCACUACACUCACCAUACGUAAAGUGACAAGACAACUUAAUGGACAAACAGUCAGCUGUGAAGUGAGCAACAAAAUAGGAACAACAAAGUCCACUUAUACUUUAAAUAUAUAUUAUGGUCCGGUGUUUAAAUCAUCUUUGGAAAACAUAGCAGCAGAUCCUGACAAAGAAGUACGGCUGGUUUGUGCUGUUGAUGGUAAUCCUCCCCCUAAAAUUACUUGGACGUUUGAGAAGAGCUCCCAGAUCAUUGGAACAGAUAGGAUUUUGAUUCUUCCCCGAGUGACACCAGACAAAACUGGGAGAUACACCUGUAAAGCUUCAGUACCAGGGUUUCCAGAGCUGUCUUCAGACUCCUUGGUUUUUAUUAAAGGACCCCCCUUGAUAAAAAGUCCUGCUGUUCAGUAUGGUAUCGAGGGACAGCAGGUGAAAGUGGAGUGUUCAAUCACGUCAGUACCAGAACCCUCCCGUGUUGUUUGGAUCAAACAGUCACAGGUAGUAGAUAUAGACAACUCUGAGGGCUACGAGAUCGUGACAGAGCCGCUACUGGACGGACUCAGAAACGUCCUCAUCAUCCACAAGGCGGAAGAGAAUGACUUUGGAGACUAUAACUGCUCAGCUUGGAACUCUUUAGGCCAUGACAGUAUGCUAAUAUCCGUCAAAAGACAAACAUGUGAUGAUGUUGGCGGGGGUGUGCCGACCAUACUUUGCUCUGUGACAGAGAGUCUUCCUAUGUUGAUCAUCUUGGCUGGUGUGAUAGGAGGCAUCGUUCUUAUUGUUUCUGUUACCAUAGUGAUUAUUCUUUGUCUCCGUAGAAAGCCUACACCUAAAGGUAAUGAAUUUGGAACAGAUAACAAAGCAAAGCAGUCUGAUUCAGCGUCAUCCGGCGAUUCUGACCUUAAGGUGGAAAUACGAACAGCCUCAUCCUUAUCAAAUAAUGAACAUGAAAGGAGUUGGGAGGAAACGAGUGAUACAACACGUGUACAUGAUCCUCCAGAUAUCUACAAAUACAACAUGGACUACACCGAACCAAGAUUUCCUCCAAAACUGGAGACCCAGAAUAAUAAUGGGUACAUUCCCUAUGUGGACUAUUCCCGAGACUACAAUCCUCCCUCAGCUCACCUAAAUUCUAGUCGAGAUAGUGGACUUUAUGACAGUUCUCCCCAACUCCUUAAUGACCUGGGCCAUCCAUUGGAUCCCAACUUCCGAGCAGCUUAUGCUAACCCGUACAGGAGGACUUCUCAGGCUAAUCUACCCCCAGAUCAGGGCCUUUACGGAAGCACCAGGGGUAACAGUCCUACCCCUCAAGUACCCUCUCUGCCUUCUAAUCAUUACAUCACUAGCCAAAACCUCCCAUGUCACCUGAAACCCGGAACUUUAGCGACCCAUGUUUGACAGUGGGAGGAAAGUGUGCUGUGACUUAACAGUAUACUGUCGUUGCUCAGAGGCCGGUUCAUACACACCAACAGCUUAACUGGCCCAUUUAAUACUCAUGUUUGUCACUACAGCGGGCUUCCUUGUCCGAUUUUACUGGUCAGUAUGCAGCGUCAGCGACUAACUGUUGCGAUUAUGAACAAAUAACGUUACAACAGGCGGUGUUCAUCGCCAGUGGUCAGAUCUGUGAGUAGUACAAACUCUAGCCAGACUUCCCAAAUGUUUACUUGAAGAAUGACAAUCCUGGUCGUUAGCCUGUGAUAGGAAAUUUGAAGAAAUUAAAAUGUACGUUUGGAAACUACUGGGAAACCAGUGACCCUGUGACAUCACUGAUGUCACCUUCCCAUCUAUGCAAUAAGUUUUUCUUCGUGGAAUAUAUAUAACCAUGUUGAUCCAGAUCUUAACAUUUUCCCACACCUUGUGAUCAGCUGCCUUUUUAUCGUGGUGCUGUAGCCUGUGACUUAGACCCUCGCUAGACUGUAGAUGUAUCAUGAACUAUAACCUAACCAACUGGAUCAUUUUAUGAUAGAAUAAACCCUAAAUAGCUGUUUGGACCUUAUCUUCAAACACUGCCAUUUUCACGGCAAGUUGGUAACCUAUCAGUAUUGUCCAGCACUGGUGUGUGUGUUUGUUUGGAAAAAGAAAACAGUAUUAGAAAAUCCU
Molecule: unclassified non-coding RNA, 3354 nt
Filed under: Limulus polyphemus (Atlantic horseshoe crab)
Lineage: Eukaryota; Metazoa; Arthropoda; Merostomata; Xiphosura; Limulidae
Description: irregular chiasm C-roughest protein-like, transcript variant X2
Source: RNAcentral